AUCACCUGGGUCUUGUUAAAAUGCAGAAUUGAAAUCAGUAGAUGUAGGAUAGGAUCUGAGAUUCUGCAUUUCCAACAAGCUCCCAGGUGAUGCCAA
Molecule: microRNA precursor, 96 nt
Filed under: Equus caballus (horse)
Lineage: Eukaryota; Metazoa; Chordata; Mammalia; Perissodactyla; Equidae
Description: mir-544 microRNA precursor family
Rfam family: mir-544 microRNA precursor family
Source: Rfam by way of RNAcentral